RNAcentral lists this ribosomal RNA (238 nucleotides) under Fusobacterium necrophorum. Its description in RNAcentral is "partial 16S ribosomal RNA". It matches the Rfam family "Bacterial small subunit ribosomal RNA", at positions 251 to 502 of the family's 1533-position model. The record is from RNAcentral. Lineage: Bacteria; Fusobacteriati; Fusobacteriota; Fusobacteriia; Fusobacteriales; Fusobacteriaceae.
GGUGAGGUAACGGCCCACCAAGGCAAUGAUGGGUAGCCGGCCUGAGAGGGUGAACGGCCACAAGGGGACUGAGACACGGCCCUUACUCCUACGGGAGGCAGCAGUGGGGACUAUUGGACAAUGGACCACAAGUCUGAUCCAGCAAUUCUGUGUGCACGAUGACGUUUUUCGGAAUGUAAAGUGCUUUCAGUCGGGAAGAAGUCAGUGACGGUACCGACAGAAGAAGCGACGGCUAAAU